AGCAAUUAAUACCAUCAUCUAUUUAGAUCUGAGACUUAAAACAGGCAUCUAUUGAGAUCUGAGAUUGUUAAAACAGAGGCAUCAUAGAUGCUCGUGGGUAAGUACAGACUGCAGGCUAAACAUCCCAUGCCAUUCCAACAAGCGAACACACUAUCAGCUAAACUGCAUCACUUCAGGGACGGACAACACUUGCGACUACCAACUCAGAGAACGAGCGGCCACUACUACUAGUCUACUGCAUCUAGAAAGACAGACAGACAGCUUCCACAGGAUAAAAGGAGCAGCAAAAGCCCGGUUAGGCCCACGACGAUGAGAAUUUCCAUUGGGUAUUUGAAGAGAGGGAGGUCCGUCUCAGGUAGGUACUGGUACCCAAAUAUUCCAAAUACUCCGGAUCCAAGACAAGACGCGUAAGAACCAAAUCAAGAACCCAAAAAUACAUGUCCAGAUGAAGGAGAGAGAAGGGGGAGCAAGGGGAUCACCGGCGAGAAGCAGGAAGGGGAAGGAUGUAGGGUCGCCGUCGCCAUGCGCCACGCCGCGGUCGCCUCGCAUUGCCCCACGGUUGCCUCGCGUUGCCCCGCCGUCGCCUCUGCUCAAGUUAGAGUCAUCGCUGCUCGAGUUAGA
Molecule: long non-coding RNA, 621 nt
Filed under: Sorghum bicolor (sorghum)
Lineage: Eukaryota; Viridiplantae; Streptophyta; Magnoliopsida; Poales; Poaceae
Description: long non-coding RNA (SBIC_LNC003011)
Source: RNAcentral